Molecule: ribosomal RNA, 465 nt
Filed under: uncultured Klebsiella sp.
Lineage: Bacteria; Pseudomonadati; Pseudomonadota; Gammaproteobacteria; Enterobacterales; Enterobacteriaceae
Description: bacterial SSU rRNA
Rfam family: Bacterial small subunit ribosomal RNA
Source: RNAcentral
CCUACGGGUGGCAGCAGUGGGGAAUAUUGCACAGUGGGCGCAAGCCUGAUGCAGCCAUGCCGCGUGUGUGAAGAAGGCCUUCGGGUUGUAAAGCACUUUCAGCGGGGAGGAAGGCGUUAAGGUUAAUAACCUUGUCGAUUGACGUUACCCGCAGAAGAAGCACCGGCUAACUCCGUGCCAGCAGCCGCGGUAAUACGGAGGGUGCAAGCGUUAAUCGGAAUUACUGGGCGUAAAGCGCACGCAGGCGGUCUGUCAAGUCGGAUGUGAAAUCCCCGGGCUCAACCUGGGAACUGCAUUCGAAACUGGCAGGCUAGAGUCUUGUAGAGGGGGGUAGAAUUCCAGGUGUAGCGGUGAAAUGCGUAGAGAUCUGGAGGAAUACCGGUGGCGAAGGCGGCCCCCUGGACAAAGACUGACGCUCAGGUGCGAAAGCGUGGGGAGCAGACAGGAUUAGAUACCCUAGUAGUC